CCGAUGUUUAGCUAAAUUAUUUUUUUCUCGUUUUCCUCCCGUGAUUUGCCCUAGCUCCCAAAUUUCUUUCAGCCUAUGCCUGUCUCUCGCGUUGCACGCUGACCCUCUCCAUCACAUAGGUAUGACUUCUCUCUCUCUCUAUUGUGGUGGUAUAAUGGUGGGAGGUGGUUUCGGUGGUGGUAUAUUGGUGGGAACGGGGUGAGGGUUCUGGUGGUGGAGAGGUGGCAAGGUUGUGGAGGGACUGUGGUAGGAAAAUGAAGUGGGGCUGGGUUUCGGUAUUUUCUUUCGCUACUCCAACCCUGGUAUUUCUCUCCAAAUCCCUACUCAUUAGAAAUUUAUGUAACAUACUAACAUUCAGAUAUAUGUACACACCUAGCCAUUACUGAUUUUAUCCCUUUCCUUUUCUUCUUCUUCCCUAGGAGAUUUCGAGGGGCCAAUCUCGAAUUAGGAUUUUUGUUCGAGAAGAUCAUCAAUAUAUGCACAUAUAUUUACAGAGAAUUUCUAUAUUUUGAAUUUGGAGUUUUCCCUCAUUCCUUCAUUCGAAUAUAUAUAUAUAUAUAUAUAUCAGUGUAGAGUGGGAGAUUUGGGGAGUAAUUAGCAAUAACAAAAUGGUUUCAUCACUGUUUGUUUAAUCCUAUGGGAGUCCACGAGGUUUUCCUCUGUUUUUCCUUCAGUAGAAUGGAAGGAAGUUGUAGACAUUAUACUAGUGGGAACGAUGCACUAGGUGAAGGCCUAUAAGGACAUAAAGGAGUACUCAAUUAAUAACUUUAUUACUUGCAUAGAUCAGGAACCCCUGCAUUACUUAUUAAUACGAUUUUCUUUUGUCCCAAACAUUUCUUUACACAUCACUAUCAUUUAUGGUGAUUCUAUUUUGUAUUUCAUAACUUCUUGGGGAAUGGAAGUGAAUUCUAUUGAUGCUCUCAAUCAAUUAGCUUUUUGUAGUAGAAGUGAUCUUUAUUUGUGGAUGCUUGGGAACAAAAAAAUUCACAUCAAACAGGGGACUAUAUUUUCUGUUUUAAACCUUCUUGGAUAAUGAAAAUAACUAUUUGAAAUGGAUUUAUCUGGCAAAAUAAUACUAGGGAACAUGAAAUGCUUCAUGAAGAUUUUUCAUCAUCUGAUUAGUGUGUAAUGUUUUUUUGUAUAUGUAAUCUAACAGUGGAAAAUCUUUCAUGAUAUUUUUUUCAUGAUACCUAGUAUUACUUUUGCAAGAAUAGCGGUAUUAGAAUAACCAAAGAGUAAUUAAUUGACUAUCUUGGAAUUGUUGCUCAUAGUGCACUUUUGACAUUAUUAAAGGCUUUUAAGGAAUGUAAUUCUCUUCACUUGGUCAAUUUCCAAUUAUUAUUAUUUAUUUAUUUUUAUUUAACAUAAACAUGUCAAUUGCUCUGUUCUUCUACUACUUACGGAUAUUUUAAUGGACUUGAUAGGUUUGAAGCUCUUGCAAAAGGAAUUCAACAAAGUACGAUUACAAAAAUAGAGCGCUAAUGGAUAUGCUUACGGGUUGGGAGGUAUGAUGAAGAACAGACUUGUAGCAAAACUCAAAACCAAUGUAAGGAAAUCAACAUUUUUAGCAAUUUUUUUUUAAAAAAAUAAAAAUAAAAUGGGAUUGGUGUUUUAACAGUCAUUGAAGAUAGAAGAUAGUAUAUCUUGAUGAAUUAUUUGAAGCAGUUGUAAUAUUUUCGGUUUGAAAUAUUCUUGAGUUAGAUAUUGUUUUUAUUA
Molecule: non-coding RNA, 1716 nt
Organism: Camellia sinensis
Lineage: Eukaryota; Viridiplantae; Streptophyta; Magnoliopsida; Ericales; Theaceae
Source: RefSeq, a predicted model, not a curated record